This 69-nucleotide transfer RNA is filed under the name Sphaerodactylus townsendi. RNAcentral describes it as "tRNA-Ala". The record is from RNAcentral. Lineage: Eukaryota; Metazoa; Chordata; Lepidosauria; Squamata; Sphaerodactylidae.
GCGGUGGCUCAAUUAUAGAGCUUUUGCUUUGCGCACCAAAGGUCCUAGGUUCAGUUCCUAGCAUCACUG